RNAcentral lists this ribosomal RNA (155 nucleotides) under Morganella morganii. Its description in RNAcentral is "partial 16S ribosomal RNA". It matches the Rfam family "Bacterial small subunit ribosomal RNA", at positions 1 to 149 of the family's 1533-position model. Lineage: Bacteria; Pseudomonadati; Pseudomonadota; Gammaproteobacteria; Enterobacterales; Morganellaceae. RNAcentral also lists the same sequence under 1 other name. The record is from RNAcentral.
UAAUUGAAGAGUUUGAUCAUGGCUCAGAUUGAACGCUGGCGGCAGGCCUAACACAUGCAAGUCGGGCGGUAACAGGGAGAAGCUUGCUUCUCUGCUGACGAGCGGCGGACGGGUGAGUAAUGUAUGGGGAUCUGCCUGAUGGCGGGGGAUAACUA